RNAcentral lists this ribosomal RNA (391 nucleotides) under Pseudomonas sp. RNAcentral describes it as "bacterial SSU rRNA". It matches the Rfam family "Bacterial small subunit ribosomal RNA", at positions 393 to 776 of the family's 1533-position model. The record is from RNAcentral. Lineage: Bacteria; Pseudomonadati; Pseudomonadota; Gammaproteobacteria; Pseudomonadales; Pseudomonadaceae.
CAUGCCGCGUGUGUGAAGAAGGUCUUCGGAUUGUAAAGCACUUUAAGUUGGGAGGAAGGGCAGUUACCUAAUACGUGAUUGUUUUGACGUUACCGACAGAAUAAGCACCGGCUAACUCUGUGCCAGCAGCCGCGGUAAUACAGAGGGUGCAAGCGUUAAUCGGAAUUACUGGGCGUAAAGCGCGCGUAGGUGGUUUGUUAAGUUGGAUGUGAAAGCCCCGGGCUCAACCUGGGAACUGCAUCCAAAACUGGCAAGCUAGAGUAUGGUAGAGGGUGGUGGAAUUUCCUGUGUAGCGGUGAAAUGCGUAGAUAUAGGAAGGAACACCAGUGGCGAAGGCGACCACCUGGACUGAUACUGACACUGAGGUGCGAAAGCGUGGGGAGCAAACAGG